This 500-nucleotide ribosomal RNA is filed under the name uncultured bacterium. RNAcentral describes it as "partial 16S ribosomal RNA". It matches the Rfam family "Bacterial small subunit ribosomal RNA", at positions 28 to 523 of the family's 1533-position model. The record is from RNAcentral.
GACGAACGCUGGCGGCGUGCCUAAUACAUGCAAGUCGAGCGGACCACUUCGGUGGUCAGCGGCGGACGGGUGAGUAACACGUGGGCAACCUGCCUGUAAGACUGGGAUAACACCGGGAAACCGGUGCUAAUACCGGAUAAUCCUUUCCUUCACAUGAAGGGAAGCUGAAAGACGGUUUCGACUGUCACUUACAGAUGGGACCGCGGCGCAUUAGCGAGUUGGUGAGGUAACGGCUCACCAAGGCAACGAUGCGUAGCCGACCUGAGAGGGUGGUCGGCCACACUGGGACUGAGACACGGCCCAGACUCCUACGGGAGGCAGCAGUAGGGAAUCUUCCGCAAUGGACGAAAGUCUGACGGAGCAACGCCGCGUGAGCGAUGAAGGCCUUCGGGUCGUAAAGCUCUGUUGUCAGGGAAGGACAAGUACCGGAGUAACUGCCGGUACCUUGACGGUACCUGACCAGAAAGCCACGGCUAACUACGUGCCAGCAGCCGCCGUAA